RNAcentral lists this ribosomal RNA (253 nucleotides) under uncultured bacterium. RNAcentral describes it as "partial 16S ribosomal RNA". It matches the Rfam family "Bacterial small subunit ribosomal RNA", at positions 524 to 776 of the family's 1533-position model. The record is from RNAcentral.
UACGUAGGGUGCAAGCGUUAAUCGGAAUUACUGGGCGUAAAGCGUGCGCAGGCGGUUCUGUAAGUCUGUCGUGAAAUCCCCGGGCUUAACCUGGGAAUUGCGAUGGAGACUGCAAGGCUAGAAUCUGGCAGAGGGGGGUAGAAUUCCACGUGUAGCAGUGAAAUGCGUAGAGAUGUGGAGGAACACCGAUGGCGAAGGCAGCCCCCUGGGUCAAGAUUGGCGCUCAUGCACGAAAGCGUGGGGAGCAAACAGG